RNAcentral lists this transfer RNA (84 nucleotides) under Acidobacteriota bacterium. RNAcentral's name for it is "Acidobacteria bacterium tRNA-Asp". The record is from RNAcentral. Lineage: Bacteria; Pseudomonadati; Acidobacteriota.
GAGAGCCUAGAACCAACAAGAUAGAUUUGUUUGACAUGCCUGUCACGCAUGAGGUCGCGGGUUCGAGUCCCGUCGUCCCCGCCA